Molecule: ribosomal RNA, 464 nt
Filed under: uncultured bacterium
Lineage: Bacteria
Description: partial 16S ribosomal RNA
Rfam family: Bacterial small subunit ribosomal RNA
Source: RNAcentral
CCUCGGGUCGCACCAGUGGGGAAUAUUGCACAAUGGGCGCAAGCCUGAUGCAGCCAUGCCGCGUGUAUGAAGAAGGCCUUCGGGUUGUAAAGUACUUUCAGCGGGGAGGAAGGGAGUAAAGUUAAUACCUUUGCUCAUUGACGUUACCCGCAGAAGAAGCACCGGCUAACUCCGUGCCAGCAGCCGCGGUAAUACGGAGGGUGCAAGCGUUAAUCGGAAUUACUGGGCGUAAAGCGCACGCAGUAGGUUUGUUAAGUCAGAUGUGAAAUCCCCGGGCUCAACCUGGGAACUGCAUCUGAUACUGGCAAGCUUGAGUCUCGUAGAGGGGGGUAGAAUUCCAGGUGUAGCGGUGAAAUGCGUAGAGAUCUGGAGGAAUACCGGUGGCGAAGGCGGUCCCCUGGACGAAGACUGACGCUCAGGUGCGAAAGCGUGGGGAGCAAACAGGAUUAGAUACCCCCGUAGUC